This 293-nucleotide unclassified non-coding RNA is filed under the name Hevea brasiliensis (rubber tree). Lineage: Eukaryota; Viridiplantae; Streptophyta; Magnoliopsida; Malpighiales; Euphorbiaceae. The record is from RNAcentral.
UCUGAUUACUCUUUUCUCUUAACCAAGCAAAUAUAUCAGGAUUGUUUCUGAUGGUGAUCUGGAUGCUUAUAAAAAUAAUCAAAAUUUGCAUGUUUAAAUAAAAAGUUAUGGUUUUUGGAUCAAUGUGGGUAAUAAUUUUGUUAUUAUUUGAUUCUACUAAGUUUACAGAAACAAUGUAGGCAUUUAUUGUCACAAGCAACCUCUGCAUUUUCUGGUUUCUAUAUGAAAGUGUGAAGAUUUGUUAGAUUUUGAUGUUUUGGUAAAUUUUCCGGUAUACUUCCUUGCCAGUAAAG